AUUGAACGCUGGCGGCAGGCUUAACACAUGCAAGUCGAGCGGGGGAAGGUAGCUUGCUACCGGACCUAGCGGCGGACGGGUGAGUAAUGCUUAGGAAUCUGCCUAUUAGUGGGGGACAACAUCUCGAAAGGGAUGCUAAUACCGCAUACGUCCUAUGGGAGAAAGCAGGGGAUCUUCGGACCUUGCGCUAAUAGAUGAGCCUAAGUCGGAUUAGCUAGUUGGUGGGGUAAAGGCCUACCAAGGCGACGAUCUGUAGCGGGUCUGAGAGGAUGAUCCGCCACACUGGGACUGAGACACGGCCCAGACUCCUACGGGAGGCAGCAGUGGGGAAUAUUGGACAAUGGGGGGAACCCUGAUCCAGCCAUGCCGCGUGUGUGAAGAAGGCCUUAUGGUUGUGAAGCACUUUAAGCGAGGAGGAGGCUACUUUAGUUAAUACCUAGAGAUAGUGGACGUUACUCGCAGAAUAAGCACCGGCUAACUCUGUGCCAGCCGCCGCUGUAA
This 501-nucleotide ribosomal RNA is filed under the name uncultured bacterium. Its description in RNAcentral is "partial 16S ribosomal RNA". It matches the Rfam family "Bacterial small subunit ribosomal RNA", at positions 30 to 523 of the family's 1533-position model. The record is from RNAcentral.